UGCUAUACAUGCAGUUGGAGCGGACAGAAGGGAGCUUGCUCCCGGAUGUUAGCGGCGGACGGGUGAGUAACACGUGGGUAACCUGCCUGUAAGACUGGGAUAACUCCGGGAAACCGGAGCUAAUACCGGAUAGUUCCUUGAACCGCAUGGUUCAAGGAUGAAAGACGGUUUCGGCUGUCACUUACAGAUGGACCCGCGGCGCAUUAGCUAGUUGGUGGGGUAAUGGCUCACCAAGGCGACGAUGCGUAGCCGACCUGAGAGGGUGAUCGGCCACACUGGGACUGAGACACGGCCCAGACUCCUACGGGAGGCAGCAGUAGGGAAUCUUCCGCAAUGGACGAAAGUCUGACGGAGCAACGCCGCGUGAGUGAUGAAGGUUUCUCGGAUCGUAAAGCUCUGUUGUUAGGGAAGAACAAGUGCGAGAGUAACUGCUCGCACCUUGACGGUACCUAACCAGAAAGCCACGGCUAACUACGUGCCAGCAGCCGCGGUAAUACGUAGGUGGCAAGCGUUGUCCGGAAUUAUUGGGCGUCAAAGGGCUCGCAGGCGGUUUCUUAAGUCUGAUGUGAAAGCCCCCGGG
RNAcentral lists this ribosomal RNA (580 nucleotides) under Bacillus sp. UST050418-420. RNAcentral's name for it is "bacterial SSU rRNA". It matches the Rfam family "Bacterial small subunit ribosomal RNA", at positions 45 to 608 of the family's 1533-position model. The record is from RNAcentral. Lineage: Bacteria; Bacillati; Bacillota; Bacilli; Caryophanales; Bacillaceae.